AUUGAACGCUGGCGGCAGGCCUAACACAUGCAAGUCGAACGGUAACAGGAAGCAGCUUGCUGCUUCGCUGACGAGUGGCGGACGGGUGAGUAAUGUCUGGGAAGCUUCCUGAUGGAGGGGGAUAACUACUGGAAACGGUAGCUAAUACCGCAUAAUGUCGCAAGACCAAAGAGGGGGACCUUCGGGCCUCUUGCCAUCGGAUGUGCCCAGAUGGGAUUAGCUUGUUGGUGGGGUAACGGCUCACCAAGGCGACGAUCCCUAGCUGGUCUGAGAGGAUGACCAGCCACACUGGGACUGAGACACGGUCCAGACUCCUACGGGAGGCAGCAGUGGGGAAUAUUGCACAAUGGGCGCAAGCCUGAUGCAGCCAUGCCGCGUGUAUGAAGAAGGCCUUCGGGUUGUAAAGUACUUUCAGCGGGGAGGAAGGGAGUAAAGUUAAUACCUUUGCUCAUUGACGUUACCCGCAGAAGAAGCACCGGCUAACUCCGUG
Molecule: ribosomal RNA, 490 nt
Filed under: uncultured bacterium
Lineage: Bacteria
Description: partial 16S ribosomal RNA
Rfam family: Bacterial small subunit ribosomal RNA
Source: RNAcentral